AGAGCGAACGCUGGCGGCGUGCUUAACACAUGCAAGUCGAGUGCGCGGUUGUAGCAAUACAACUGGCGCACGGCGCACGGGUGAGUAACACGUGGGCAACCUGCCCUCCAAUGGGGGAUACCCCCGCGAAAGCGGGACUAAUACCGCAUGACAUUCCGGAGACUUCGGUCACCGGACUCAAAGGCCGUAAGGUCGUUGGAGGAGGGGCCCGCGCCCGAUUAGCUAGUUGGUGAGGUAACGGCUCACCAAGGCUAUGAUCGGUAGCUGGU
This 269-nucleotide ribosomal RNA is filed under the name uncultured bacterium. Its description in RNAcentral is "partial small subunit ribosomal RNA". It matches the Rfam family "Bacterial small subunit ribosomal RNA", at positions 26 to 291 of the family's 1533-position model. The record is from RNAcentral.